RNAcentral lists this transfer RNA (68 nucleotides) under Marmota monax (woodchuck). RNAcentral's name for it is "tRNA.Val". Lineage: Eukaryota; Metazoa; Chordata; Mammalia; Rodentia; Sciuridae. The record is from RNAcentral.
GGUCAUAGCUCAGUUGGUAGAGAGCUUGCCUCACGUGUACAAGGACCUGGGUUUGAUCCCCGGCACCA